RNAcentral lists this ribosomal RNA (376 nucleotides) under uncultured bacterium. RNAcentral's name for it is "bacterial SSU rRNA". It matches the Rfam family "Bacterial small subunit ribosomal RNA", at positions 28 to 412 of the family's 1533-position model. The record is from RNAcentral.
GAUGAACGCUAGCGGCAGGCUUAACACAUGCAAGUCGAGGGUAGGGCAGCAAUGCCUGAGACCGGCGCACGGGUGCGUAACGCGUAUGCAAUCUACCUUGUACAGGGGAAUAGCCCAGAGAAAUUUGGAUUAAUGCCCCAUAGCAUAUUUGAAUGGCAUCAUUUAAAUAUUAAAGUUCAGGCGGUACAAGAUGAGCAUGCGUCCCAUUAGCUAGUUGGUAUGGUAACGGCAUACCAAGGCAAUGAUGGGUAGGGUCCUGAGAGGGAGAUCCCCCACACUGGUACUGAGACACGGACCAGACUCCUACGGGAGCAGCAGUGAGGAAUAUUGGGCAAUGGAGGAAACUCUGACCCAGCGACGCCGCGUGAGGGAUGAA